CUUUUCUUGUCCGGCCGCCUUUGCCUCUUGACGAGGUGCUACUCGCAUAGGUUUCGAGGGGGCGAGGCUAGGGAAUUGUUGGAGCCAUUUUUGGAGGUCAACAGAUUGGCGCCGUCUGUGGGAAACGGCACAUUAACCAUGUUAUACCACAACCCAGAAAGCCAUCGAAAAAAAAGGGGAGAAAGAGAGAGAAUUUGCCAGUCGGUUUUUCUACCAAAAGGGAAAGUAGUAACCAAAAAUUGAAGAAAAAAUGGCUGCUGGAAUUGGAGUUCAAAACGGGGUCAUUUUUGAGGAUUUUCUUGGAGGUUCAUGGUGAAAAAUCAGCCAUUGAAAGGAAGAACAAUAGAGUUAUUAGCAAGCAAAGACAAACAACUCUUGCACCUUCAUCUAAAAUGUCACCCACUACAAUCAAAUUUGUGAUAUUCAAGUUGGAGGUGACCAAGAAUAACCAAAAGCCAAAAACAGAACUUCAAUGGCCUCAAAUUUCCUUCACAUAGUCUGCCUUUGCCAACCAAGAAAAGGUAAUGAAAGAUUUACAAUCAUACAACAAGAAACUCUCAAAAAUCCUCCAUAGAAGAGUCCAAUCCUUUUGCCACUUCCUCAACAAAGUUUCACACUGCCAAAUGAGUUCAUUCGUUUCAAUACAAAGACCCAUCCGUGUAAAGCUUUCAAAACAUGCCAAUGACAAAGCUUUGGCAGAAAACGGAGCUAUUUGGUGUUGGUAAUGGCAUCCUCUAACAGAGAAAGAAGAAUAAUUGUUGUGGAAAUGUUGAGGCAAAGGAGAUUCUUAGAGCGCACACAACCCGCUUGAUGAAUUGCCUCAAUAAAGUUCACAAUUCGGUGACCCUCAUUGAAGUAGCCACUGCAUCUCAAGAAAAUUUUCGACGACCACCGUUGUCAACCUUCGGUUCGGUACCCAGCAGUAUACAAGUUAAACCAACUUGGUCUGAGUUUUUCCCAUGGAGAGCAUUAAAUGUUGAUAGACAAGAAGUGAUGGUUGAGUGUUUAGACUAAGAAAGGUGGUUCAAAUCAGCCCAUGUUUUGGGCUUUUUGCUAACAAAUGCAGGCGGCUUUUACAGGUUAAUAUGUAGUCAAUUAUUCAACUUCUAAUUUUGAUUGCCUUCACGUGAUAUUCAGUCAUAUAUUACUAUAAAAAUAGUCAAUUAAUAUUUUGGGGAGGCUGCUUUUGAUUGGGCUUUUCAGAAUAAUGUGAAAGUUGCUUGGAG
This 1226-nucleotide long non-coding RNA is filed under the name Olea europaea subsp. europaea. The record is from RNAcentral. Lineage: Eukaryota; Viridiplantae; Streptophyta; Magnoliopsida; Lamiales; Oleaceae.